This 449-nucleotide long non-coding RNA is filed under the name Mustela putorius furo (domestic ferret). RNAcentral's name for it is "lncRNA (ENSMPUG00000026839.1)". Lineage: Eukaryota; Metazoa; Chordata; Mammalia; Carnivora; Mustelidae. The record is from RNAcentral.
CUGAUGUGCACCACUACCUUUAAGAGAAGACUGGGUUACGUAUGGAAUCAACUCGACUUACUCUAUGGUUGGGCGAAGCUUGCACCCCCAAGGAUCAGACAAGGACACAUCUUUCUGACAGUUGUUGAUAAUGAGGCCAAUGGAAAGGCUAAUUGUUUAAAGUUCUGCGAGUGUUCGUUAUAAAGCCGAGUUCGAGUAAAUUAUUCUAUGGAGGCAGCGCUCUGUGGGAAAGCCCCGUUCCUCAAUGCGGGGAGUUUGAUAUACCGUCUGCUCUGAGGGGCUUGGAUUAGUCCAUCUGUUCCUGGUUUUCAAAAACCUGAGGUGAAGAAAAUAAAUAACAGGAAAAACAAAAAUGAAAAAUGCGUCCAGUUCGUGAAUUGCAUAAGUAUGCAUGUGCUCCUAAAUCACCUAUCUGUCCAGACACUCCAAACUUUGACCGAUAUGCCGUG